Molecule: small RNA, 117 nt
Filed under: Marmota monax (woodchuck)
Lineage: Eukaryota; Metazoa; Chordata; Mammalia; Rodentia; Sciuridae
Source: RNAcentral
GCUGGGUGUGGUGGCACUUGCCUGUAGUCCCAGCUACUCAGGAGGCUAAGGCAAGAAGAUUACUUGAGGCCAGGAGUUUAAGAUCAGCCUGAGCAACAUACAGAGAUCCUGUCUCAA